GAAAACUAUCAAACUGCCAUCAAAGUUGUUUCUCCAAGUAUAAAAGAGGGUUCCUACGGCUAGAAAUGCAAUUGAAAGCUUCCAAGAACACAAAAAAGAGCUGAAAAACCAAAAAACAUCUUCUGCACUUCACUGCACUUAACGCCCAUCCUUGUAAUUGUAUUUUGCACUUCAACUUAUACCACAUAGAUCAACAUUGUGAUCAUAGGUACACUUCUCUUCAUUGGGUUAUAGUUGAGCCCGGGAAAAACUAUUGUGAAAGGUUUUGGCUAAGCUUGGUAAAAGCCAUUGUAAUGCUUGGUGAAAGCUUGUGAAUUUCACCGGUUCUUAGUGGAUUGGUUGGAAAAUCCUUGGUUGGAUAAUCAGGGUAGUGGAUGUAGAUCUUG
This 386-nucleotide long non-coding RNA is filed under the name Theobroma cacao (cacao). RNAcentral describes it as "long non-coding RNA (TCAC_LNC003915)". Lineage: Eukaryota; Viridiplantae; Streptophyta; Magnoliopsida; Malvales; Malvaceae. The record is from RNAcentral.